Molecule: ribosomal RNA, 253 nt
Filed under: uncultured bacterium
Lineage: Bacteria
Description: partial 16S ribosomal RNA
Rfam family: Bacterial small subunit ribosomal RNA
Source: RNAcentral
UACGUAGGCAGCGAGCGUUGUUCGGAAUUACUGGGCGUAAAGAGUGUGUAGGCGGUGCUCUAAGUUCGGUGUGAAAUCUCCUGGCUUAACUGGGAGGGUGCGCCGGAAACUGGAGUGCUCGAACGUGGGAGAGGAAAGCGGAAUUCCUGGUGUAGCGGUGAAAUGCGUAGAUAUCUGGAGGAACACCGGUGGCGAAGGCGGCAUCCUGGACCAACACUGACGCUGAGGAGCGAAAGCCAGGGGAGCAAACGGG